GGGCCGGUCGUCUAGUGGGAGGAUACAGUAGUUGCCUCAGGCCGCCUUCGCACGGCGGUGGUCCCGGGUUCGAAUCCCGGCCGGUCCACCA
RNAcentral lists this transfer RNA (91 nucleotides) under Thermofilum sp. Its description in RNAcentral is "tRNA-Ala". It matches the Rfam family "tRNA". From Rfam's summary of the family: Transfer RNA (tRNA) molecules are approximately 80 nucleotides in length. Their secondary structure includes four short double-helical elements and three loops (D, anti-codon, and T loops). Further hydrogen bonds mediate the characteristic L-shaped molecular structure. tRNAs have two regions of fundamental functional importance: the anti-codon, which is responsible for specific mRNA codon recognition, and the 3' end, to which the tRNAs corresponding amino acid is attached (by aminoacyl-tRNA synthetases). tRNAs cope with the degeneracy of the genetic code in two manners: having more than one tRNA (with a specific anti-codon) for a particular amino acid; and 'wobble' base-pairing, i.e. permitting non-standard base-pairing at the 3rd anti-codon position. The record is from RNAcentral. Lineage: Archaea; Thermoproteati; Thermoproteota; Thermoprotei; Thermofilales; Thermofilaceae.